Molecule: ribosomal RNA, 496 nt
Filed under: uncultured rumen bacterium 122pARRO
Lineage: Bacteria; Pseudomonadati; Bacteroidota
Description: partial 16S ribosomal RNA
Rfam family: Bacterial small subunit ribosomal RNA
Source: RNAcentral
UGAAAGSUWRSUKACAGGGCUUAAMACAUGCAAAGUCGAGGGGCAGCAUGGCGAUAGCUUGCUAUYGUSGAUGGCGACCGGCGCACGGGUGAGUAACGCGUUAUCCCAACCUUCCCCUUAGUAGGGCAUAGCCCGUAGAAAUGCGGAUUAAUACCCUAUGUAGUUCGUAGAGGGCGUCUGAAGUGAACCAAAGGUUUACCGCUAAGGGAUGGGGAUGCGUCUGAUUAGGCCGCAGGCGGGGUAACGGCCCACCUGGCYUACGAUCAGUAGGGGUUCUGAGAGGAAGGUCCCCCACAUUGGAACUGAGACACGGUCCAAACUCCUACGGGAGGCAGCAGUGAGGAAUAUUGGUCAAUGGACGARAGUCUGAACCAGCCAAGUAGCGUGCAGGAUGACGGSCCUAUGGGUUGUWAACUGCUUUUAUGCGGGGAUAAAKUCSGCUACKUGUAGCCGUUUGUAGGUWCCGCAUGAAUAAGGACCGGGUAAUUCCNUNCAG